GACGAACGCUGGCGGCGUGCUUAACACAUGCAAGUCGAACGGUGAGGCGCUUUCCUUUUUGGUUGGUGUGGAUGAGUGGCGAACGGGUGAGUAACACGUGAGUAACCUGCCCCCUUCUUCUGGAUAACCGCAUGAAAGUGUGGCUAAUACGGGAUAUUCUGCGCCUGCUGCAUGGUGGGUGUGGGAAAGAUUGUGCCUUUGGGUGUUUUCGGUGGGGGAUGGGCUCGCGGCCUAUCAGCUUGUUGGUGGGGUGAUGGCCUACCAAGGCGGUGACGGGUAGCCGGCCUGAGAGGGUGGACGGUCACACUGGGACUGAGACACGGCCCAGACUCCUACGGGAGGCAGCAGUGGGGAAUAUUGCACAAUGGGCGCAAGCCUGAUGCAGCGACGCCGCGUGAGGGAUGGAGGCCUUCGGGUUGUGAACCUCUUUCGCCAGUGAAGCAGGCCUGCUCCUUGUGGGUGGGUUGACGGUAGCUGGAUAAGAAGCGCCGGCUAACUACGUG
Molecule: ribosomal RNA, 503 nt
Filed under: uncultured bacterium
Lineage: Bacteria
Description: partial 16S ribosomal RNA
Rfam family: Bacterial small subunit ribosomal RNA
Source: RNAcentral